RNAcentral lists this ribosomal RNA (2712 nucleotides) under Klebsiella quasipneumoniae. RNAcentral describes it as "partial 23S ribosomal RNA". It matches the Rfam family "Bacterial large subunit ribosomal RNA". The record is from RNAcentral. Lineage: Bacteria; Pseudomonadati; Pseudomonadota; Gammaproteobacteria; Enterobacterales; Enterobacteriaceae.
CCGGCGAUGUCCGAAUGGGGAAACCCAGUGUGAUUCGUCACACUAUCGUUAACUGAAUACAUAGGUUAACGAGGCGAACCGGGGGAACUGAAACAUCUAAGUACCCCGAGGAAAAGAAAUCAACCGAGAUUCCCCCAGUAGCGGCGAGCGAACGGGGAGCAGCCCAGAGUCUGAAUCAGCUUGUGUGUUAGUGGAACGGUCUGGAAAGUCCGACGGUACAGGGUGAUAGUCCCGUACACCAAAAUGCACAGGCUGUGAACUCGAAGAGUAGGGCGGGACACGUGGUAUCCUGUCUGAAUAUGGGGGGACCAUCCUCCAAGGCUAAAUACUCCUGACUGACCGAUAGUGAACCAGUACCGUGAGGGAAAGGCGAAAAGAACCCCGGCGAGGGGAGUGAAAAAGAACCUGAAACCGUGUACGUACAAGCAGUGGGAGCACCUUCGGGUGUGACUGCGUACCUUUUGUAUAAUGGGUCAGCGACUUAUAUUCUGUAGCAAGGUUAACCGUAUAGGGGAGCCGCAGGGAAACCGAGUCUUAACUGGGCGUUAAGUUGCAGGGUAUAGACCCGAAACCCGGUGAUCUAGCCAUGGGCAGGUUGAAGGUUGGGUAACACUAACUGGAGGACCGAACCGACUAAUGUUGAAAAAUUAGCGGAUGACUUGUGGCUGGGGGUGAAAGGCCAAUCAAACCGGGAGAUAGCUGGUUCUCCCCGAAAGCUAUUUAGGUAGCGCCUCGUGAACUCAUCUUCGGGGGUAGAGCACUGUUUCGGCUAGGGGGUCAUCCCGACUUACCAACCCGAUGCAAACUACGAAUACCGAAGAAUGUUAUCACGGGAGACACACGGCGGGUGCUAACGUCCGUCGUGAAGAGGGAAACAACCCAGACCGCCAGCUAAGGUCCCAAAGUCAUGGUUAAGUGGGAAACGAUGUGGGAAGGCACAGACAGCCAGGAUGUUGGCUUAGAAGCAGCCAUCAUUUAAAGAAAGCGUAAUAGCUCACUGGUCGAGUCGGCCUGCGCGGAAGAUGUAACGGGGCUAAACCAUGCACCGAAGCUGCGGCAGCGACACUAUGUGUUGUUGGGUAGGGGAGCGUUCUGUAAGCCUGCGAAGGUGACCUGUGAGGGUUGCUGGAGGUAUCAGAAGUGCGAAUGCUGACAUAAGUAACGAUAAAGCGGGUGAAAAGCCCGCUCGCCGGAAGACCAAGGGUUCCUGUCCAACGUUAAUCGGGGCAGGGUGAGUCGACCCCUAAGGCGAGGCCGAAAGGCGUAGUCGAUGGGAAACAGGUUAAUAUUCCUGUACUUGGUGUUACUGCGAAGGGGGGACGGAGAAGGCUAUGUUAGCCGGGCGACGGUUGUCCCGGUUUAAGCAUGUAGGCUGGUUAUCCAGGCAAAUCCGGAUAAUCAAGGCUGAGGUGUGAUGACGAGGCACUACGGUGCUGAAGUAACAAAUGCCCUGCUUCCAGGAAAAGCCUCUAAGCAUCAGGUAACAUCAAAUCGUACCCCAAACCGACACAGGUGGUCAGGUAGAGAAUACCAAGGCGCUUGAGAGAACUCGGGUGAAGGAACUAGGCAAAAUGGUGCCGUAACUUCGGGAGAAGGCACGCUGGUGUGUAGGUGAAGUCCCUGCGGAUGGAGCUGAGACCAGUCGAAGAUACCAGCUGGCUGCAACUGUUUAUUAAAAACACAGCACUGUGCAAACACGAAAGUGGACGUAUACGGUGUGACGCCUGCCCGGUGCCGGAAGGUUAAUUGAUGGGGUUAUCCGUAAGGAGAAGCUCUUGAUCGAAGCCCCGGUAAACGGCGGCCGUAACUAUAACGGUCCUAAGGUAGCGAAAUUCCUUGUCGGGUAAGUUCCGACCUGCACGAAUGGCGUAAUGAUGGCCAGGCUGUCUCCACCCGAGACUCAGUGAAAUUGAACUCGCUGUGAAGAUGCAGUGUACCCGCGGCAAGACGGAAAGACCCCGUGAACCUUUACUAUAGCUUGACACUGAACAUUGAGCCUUGAUGUGUAGGAUAGGUGGGAGGCUUUGAAGCGUGGACGCCAGUCUGCGUGGAGCCAACCUUGAAAUACCACCCUUUAAUGUUUGAUGUUCUAACGUUGGCCCCUAAUCGGGGUUGCGGACAGUGUCUGGUGGGUAGUUUGACUGGGGCGGUCUCCUCCCAAAGCGUAACGGAGGAGCACGAAGGUUAGCUAAUCCUGGUCGGACAUCAGGAGGUUAGUGCAAUGGCAUAAGCUAGCUUGACUGCGAGCGUGACGGCGCGAGCAGGUGCGAAAGCAGGUCAUAGUGAUCCGGUGGUUCUGAAUGGAAGGGCCAUCGCUCAACGGAUAAAAGGUACUCCGGGGAUAACAGGCUGAUACCGCCCAAGAGUUCAUAUCGACGGCGGUGUUUGGCACCUCGAUGUCGGCUCAUCACAUCCUGGGGCUGAAGUAGGUCCCAAGGGUAUGGCUGUUCGCCAUUUAAAGUGGUACGCGAGCUGGGUUUAGAACGUCGUGAGACAGUUCGGUCCCUAUCUGCCGUGGGCGCUGGAGAAUUGAGGGGGGCUGCUCCUAGUACGAGAGGACCGGAGUGGACGCAUCACUGGUGUUCGGGUUGUCAUGCCAAUGGCACUGCCCGGUAGCUAAAUGCGGAAGAGAUAAGUGCUGAAAGCAUCUAAGCACGAAACUUGCCCCGAGAUGAGUUCUCCCUGAGACUUUAAGUCUCCUGAAGGAACGUU